RNAcentral lists this unclassified non-coding RNA (378 nucleotides) under Hevea brasiliensis (rubber tree). The record is from RNAcentral. Lineage: Eukaryota; Viridiplantae; Streptophyta; Magnoliopsida; Malpighiales; Euphorbiaceae.
AAAAAAAAGGGAAUUUACUCCAAAAGAACAUUCAAAUUCAACUUGCUGGACGUUCAUGAUAUGGUUUUCAAAAAUGAGUUAGAGAAUCUCCCACAAUCUAUUGCGUUAAUCUUCAUUUGAAUGGUCAUAAAAGCCAUUAUUGUUCUUAAGUAAAGAAAGGAAAACAAAAUUUCAGAACAAGUUAGUCCACAAAGUUUCAGACUAAAGCAUCGAUUGAUUUGAAGAUAAUCUAUCAAGCAAACAAACUCAACCCAGCACAGUUCAUUUCGUGUAAUAUGAAGCAGAAAAAGAAAAUGCUAAACAUCGAUUGAUUUCCUUGUGGCGUUUGCAAUUUAGGAUACAAACUAAACCAAUUGAAACCAAACAGAGAAGAAUUUG